Ribosomal RNA from Erinaceus europaeus (western European hedgehog), 110 nucleotides. Lineage: Eukaryota; Metazoa; Chordata; Mammalia; Eulipotyphla; Erinaceidae. The record is from Ensembl.
GUCUAUGGCCAUACCACCUUGGACACACCCCUGUCUCAGAAGCUAAGCAGGGUUGAGCCUACUUAGUGCUUGGAUGGGAGACAGCCUGGGAAUACCCAGUGUUGUAGGCU